Long non-coding RNA from Siniperca chuatsi (mandarin fish), 8120 nucleotides. RefSeq lists it as uncharacterized. Lineage: Eukaryota; Metazoa; Chordata; Actinopteri; Centrarchiformes; Sinipercidae. The transcript has 2 exons. The record is from RefSeq and is a predicted model, not a curated record.
UUACUUGCAAUGGAGUAUUUUGUUGGUACUUGCACUCAAGUGAAGGAUCUGAGUACUUCUUCCACCACUGCUUGUCUGUAUGUCAAUGUAUUUCCUCAAUGAUGUGACUAUUUUCAACCAAUCUUCACGAGCAUGACUGUGUGGCCGCCAACCCUCCUAACCCCUCUCUGUGUCCGUCUGUCUGUGCAGCCCCCCUAUCUUUUUGAAACCCGUGUCAACUCAGCUACGCAUCAUUAACCCCUUUUGUGGCUGGUGCUGCACAUGUUUCAUCUGCCUCAGAUCAACACAGACAACAGCAGCAUCUCUAAUGAUAGUGGCUCCCUUGUGUGGCUGCUUGCCAGGCAAUAAUAGGCCACUUCAUUGACCUGUACUCCUCUGUAAUAAGCUGUAUCUAUAUAUCACCUCUUCCCACAUUUAUACCAGCUCACUGACUGCACACUAAUCCCAUAAUUUGUGAAACAUGACUUUCAUUUUGCAGACACAAGCAAAUACAUGAACAAAAAAUUCAUCCCCCCCCUUUUGCUUUAACCUUUUUUUCUUUGCUUUAGAGAAUAAUCCUGAACAUGUCAGUGCAGAGUCUGAAAGGCCAAGUGUUUUGUGGAUGACUGAACUCGUGUUUUAAAUAGACUAGGGGCCCGAUGCCCCUGUUAGUGCCUCCGAGUGCACAGGGCUGCUUGUCAGACCAUCUGGGGCAUGCUGGUCCACAGAAAGCAGAACACCAAACAACCCCCUGGGAUACAUCCUCUCCUCUGCUUCCCUGGGGCUCCUCCACUCAUAAGCACAGAGCAGAGAGAAACAACAGCAUUCACAGAGAGGGAGGAAGGAGGAGAAGGGAAUUAAAGGCAGAGGCGGAAAGGAUGAGGAUAGAGUGAGAUAUAUGAAAAAAAAGACAAUUAGGAAAGUGGCAGAAGAGCAGCCAAGCUGAACGAUAGGUGCAAAUUAAAGCCUCAUACUGAUUGAAUCAACACUUCAUCUGUUAUUUGUCACAGAAGAUACUGCAGUAACCUGGCAUUUUGAGCACACACCAAUAGUUUUGUGGAGAUAAUACAUGAGUCACAGAUGGGAGGACACUCACACCCUGCGUCCACUGUCAGGACUAAGGAAUGUCUUAAUGCAUCAUGAGGCUUAGCUCACUCUCAACAUGUCAUAAAUUUGUUAAAAUCCUCUAUUUCUGCUCUGGUAGAGAAAUGUGUGUAUCUCUGUGUGUGCUUGAAGCAAACCCAUGUGUGGUGUUGUUGAUUGGUGCUGCUUCUUCAGACCAGCUGAUCAAGGCUCUCUGUCCCUUUAGGCUCCACGUGGAUUCAUCGCAUGACACAGCUGGCUGAUACACAUAAAGAAGACUCUUUGUAAGCGCAAACACACACUCUGUCUCUCUUUUAAGGCCAGUGCUAGACCUUUAAGUAGCAUUUUCUAAGGAUUCAGGCCGCUCAUGAAGAUGUCAACAACUGUGUUAUAGGGACCCCAAGUGGUGAAAUGUAAUAGUGCAUCAGCUGAGAUAUGAAACAGCUGCUCUGCUGCAUGCAUCCUCCUCCAUCCAGAGUAUAAUCACAGCACCUGCAUAUUAAUAGAGCAGGACUGAUGCCAUGGAAUGAAUCCCACUGACCCAUAUUUCCUCUGCCAGUGGAGCCCUGGGUGGGGAGGUUAUAAGAGGAGACUGGCACCAACAAAGGCUCCACUGUUGCUACAGUGAUGUCAGUGAAAUGAUCUCUUCCCUCUGGCUCUCAUUAAUACUCUGCCAUUCAAAUUCAAUCAGCGAGGCAUAUGGUAAAUGGCAGCGACUCGUUUCACUGUACUAAAUCACAGCGGCGCGUGGGUGUCACGAUAAUUAAUGUAAUUGAUUCCAGGUUAUUCUAAUUCUGAGAGGACUGGGAGCUGCUAAUGUUGUAGCUGCAUAGAGUACAAGGUUUCUCAUAACUGAAAUGCUAUUUUACGUAUGUUUGUGAGCACAUUCUAAAAUCAGUAAUUGUGCAUUCACUUAAAAGGGCACUCAAACUAUUUUUCACAUGAAGUUAGGUUUACUUGUAAUGAGCAGCACUAGUCAGAUUGUGUCUUCUGUGGCUCUGGAGAGAGCUUUCCAAACUUAAAACUUAAAAUAACCCUGAUGACCCAACCCUAUUGACUUGCAUUGUGUGUCUGACCAUUUCUGUAAUAAAUUAAAGAUCAUGACCACAUGUUGAGGCUCUCUGAAUUGGACAGGAAUUGUUUGUUAGGGCCAAACGGUUGAAGUGGUUUAAAUCAGAAUGACACACUUGCCCUUUUAUGGUAUGCAACUGUGUCGGUGUAACAGCAUCGUUUGUGGCUUUCAGAACAAGUCAGCUCAUUUUUGUUUGAGUAAUAUUCGAAUAAGAAAUUCCCCACCUGAAAUAUGUGUGCACCAGGGGGUAGCUCUGCAGUAGUCAGGGGAUAUGUGGGAAAAAUGUAGCGAGUUAGCUCAGCUAAUCUGACAAAAAUAAAAUAAUAAAAGAUAUAUACACAUAAAAUAAACACACAUAAAAGAUUACAAAUUGGUGUGAGGCUAAUCAUAUAAUUUGUCACAAUAACCAAUAAACUACAAGCUCCAAUAAGCUGACAGCACAGGAGACACCUCUAAUCAAAUAAACGAAACAAAAUAAUUUGUGUAUCAUAGAUGUGUAUCAUUCUAAAUCACUUUUGGGCUUUUUGAGCAAACAGUACUCUAAAUUUACGUGUCUCUCAAGCAUGUGUUGUUUUUAAAAGAGGCCAACAGCAUUUGUCCUCCAUUUUAAACAUGUGCAACAAAAACUCACUAUAGCAUUAAUUGGACAGAGCGCUGGCCUCCAGAGCCUGGACAGGAAGUGUUGGGUGCACCAAAGGUCAAAAAUGACUGGCUUCAAUCAUCGUGUGGGCGUAUCUCCAGAACGCAGGAAGACGGGGAGGAAAGGAAAAGAAAUGGGAAAUGGAGAAAGGCCAAGGAGGGAGAGGGAGGAGCGAGGUUUAAGCGAGACAGCAGAGAAAAGACGGGGGGGGGGUUUGUAGGUGGUGGAAGUGUUUUUGUGCAUUGUGUGAAAUGUGAUCAUGUCCUGGAGCUGCUCAGACAGCUGGGAAGUUCCCUGCCCCUGGCUUCCAGCUGGGAACACUCUAAGGAGACACCAGAGCUGCAGACCAUAUACUUCCUUGCUUAACCCUUUAUCUGCUGCGGAGCUAUAAAUAAACACACUUAAACACCUUGGAACUUAAGUCACAUUUAUUGAUUUUAGCCAGUAUGACUACCUUUACACAGACAUGCCACCUCUCUACUGGAAAACAAACAAAACACUUUCAUAGGAUUAGUUCAGCAGUAAUACAUCAAACUUAACUCUUGUCUUUUCAUUUUUUUCUCCAUAUUUUUUUAACAACCUGGAAAAAGUUUACAUGUUUGUUUUCAAUUCUGUGUAAAGGUCCCAUGACUGAGAAACAUGCAUAUGACAUUUAGCUGUAAUCAAUAUGCCACUAAUCAUAAUGCACAUUAUUGAUAAGAAUACAGUACUGCAUGACAAUUCAAAUAAAUACCAACAUACAGGUGAAGUCGUUAUUUCAUAUAAAGAUAUCAAACUCUCAUUAUGGAUCAAUACUGAAACACAAUAUGACAAUAUAAAGUUUGCACAGCUAAUUUUAUUAUCACAACGCUAUCGCUUCCAGCAAACAGAAAACUUUUUCCUUUUUUAAUGUAUAACAGUAUCUGAAUUGCACUUUAAUUUUUUAGCUUCUCCAUAUUGGUAACUUUAACGCCUCAACAAACAAGCAUUGGCUAUAAUGGCACUAUUCAAGCUUGUUGAUGCUUAUUUUGCUUUCUGUUUCCUGAAAACAUAAUGCUCAAAGAUUAUGUAAAAAAAGAAUAAAAAAACAAAACUCAAGUUGGACAAAAAGAAAGAUAAAAUGCGCUCUCUGCACAUUUUUUCAACAAUACUAUUGAUAUCACAUUACCUUCACCAAACAAUGCUAGAGAUACGUUGAUGUUUCCAAUAGUACACCGAUCUACCCCAACACAUUACAGAUGCUUGGAGCAUUUUGUUCAAUAACAGGAGGCCAAAGGGAUUUCUUUUGGUUCCCAAAGUUUGAUAAAAAAACAACCUUUUCUUAAUACCCCUGAAUUUAUUGAAUGGAUCACUGACCUGCAGAAUUCAAUACAAUUUCAGUUUUAUUGAGCUAAUUUUUAAAACGAUCAUCUCACUCAUGCAGACAGGGGAAAAUUCCCUUUGCACUUAUUGCUGCUCACAGUUUCGAACCCAAAGUCCUCACCUAUAAAAAAAGAAAACAUAAAAUACUAGUCUAAGAUUCUCCCUUGAAACAAUGAAAGGCACUACUGGUCAGAAACGAAGAACUAAACAAACCAAAAACAAAACCCCGGCGCUCGAACGGAGAGCCAUGGCCCGCACUACAUCUUCCUCAGUGACGGCUUGUCUUAUUUCCGAGUCUUGAUUCUUUUCAACCUAAACGGUGCACCAAGAUUUGGCACGAUAAACGAAGAGAGAAUGAAACAAUUCCAAUUUGGAAUUUAAUCGUCACACUUGCAGAGAAUUCAGAAAGUCAGUGAUCCCAUUUCAGUGGAACGCCCUCGGUAAGAAGCUAGGAAAAGCAUAUCAUAUCACUCAAAUUUUUCCCAAAACACAACUUACCUAUUUGAGUCAGAGCGUUGUCAAGUUUCAUCGUGUUAUUUUGAACUAUUCCUAGGAAUAAUAAAUACAUGAAAAAACCCCAGAAUUUGAUCACCCUGGAUUUUUUGUGUAGAACAUGGCAGUAGAACAAACAUAAAAGAAAACCAACAGCAUAACAUAUGAUGUAACAAAACAAUUUAAGAAUGAUUAUUUGAUGGAUAAAAUCUUGAGGAUAAGUCAUAAUAGUAGGUCUGUGGUUUGUGGAGCCUUUACUAGAGUAAAUAGUUUAUAUAGUAAUAUUAAAUACUAUUUAAAUACUUUAAAUAGUAUUUAAGUUCAGAUAAUUCAGGAGGACGUAUAAUCCUAUAGUCUUAUAACCUAUACUGAAUUACUCACAAACCAUAGUACUACCACGCUUUCCUAUAGGUUAAUAAUAGUCUAUAAUAGUUAUAAUCCUAUAUAAUGAAAGUGCACAGAUUAAAAAAACAAUAAACAAACAAAAAAAAGAGAUAAACCCAGACAAAACAGCUUGUAGAUUUACAUUGAGAAACAACCCCAUCCCCUGGCUUAUCAUUGGACCAUUAGAUUAGCCAAUCACAACCUCUGGUCAGAAUUUCAAUCAGUUCAUUGGACCUGUGAGAAAUUGGCUUCCAGCAGCAGUACGCAAAAAUGAGACCAAGUGUCAUUCCGAUAGACAUCACAUUUUAAGAGAAAGUAGGAGUUGAUUUGACUGGAAAUCAGUGUUUUCAUUUAGCAUUUUGUUUUGUUUUUGUCUUCAAGUCCAAAUAGCCUAUUAGCCUACUGCUAACUCUUUUCGGCGAACUCAAUCAGCAGUGAGAAUGGACCUUGUGUUGGUACUUCGUCAUCCGUGCAGAACUACUGUAAUUACUGCAAAAUGAAGAAACAAACAAAUGAUCAGCAUUAGCGUUAUUUGUCAAUUUAGAGCGACUGUUAACACGGUCAACAGCUGAGUCCACACAGACAAAGUAGACGGCGGCUGUAGUUAGUCUAAGCAACAGAAGCCAUGUUAGGAGCCCUGAGGCAGCCGAUGUUAUGUCAAGAGCUUUUCUGUCAUGUUGACAUCAUCAAUAUGUUUCUGAGGAGCUGAUGUGAAAGCGGAUUCACCACAUAUUAUCCUGCAGGUGCUGUUAGGAAGCCAAUGACUCACAAGUACAAGAGUUAUAGCCAUAUCCCACCACCCAGGUCAAAGGAGAGGGGUGUUGCCAUGCAAGUUAAUGAAAAAUGAGCUAUGUUUUUGACAUGCAGGCUUACUAUAAAUCAGAUAAUAGAUGCAUCAUAUGAAGUCAAACUUAAAGGUGAAGUGGGAGGAGCCUGCAAGCAGAGGUAGGAGGAGCUUUUUGGUGGCAUGCUGUUAUGACACCAGAUAAACCAGACAUUGAUUUCAAACUAGAUGGAGCGAAGUGGGAAUUCAUCUAUCUAGGGAGAGGGGGUUCUAGUCACAAUCACAUCCUGGGUAUCUAUCUACUGCUGAGUGAUUCCACAGAGCCUAUAUAAGGGGGAGGGUUAGGGGCUCAACUAAUUUGAAUCAAUGUCCUCUGGUCGAUUGAGCAACCAGUUUUCAGUUUUUUUUUUCCUCCAAAAAUGAGCAGGAGUUUCUCCCUCAGGAAACCCCUGGACUCAUUUCUCCACAGUAUCAGAGUCAGCUCUCAGCCAGACAUCUGGAUUUCUUCACCAGCAUGUCUGGCCUUCUUAUCUCCUCUCUCAGGAGCUGGUUUACAACAUGAGUAGUUCUCCCUCCUCUACUCCCCAAACCUUUUCUCAGUCAGCGCAAACUGAUAGAAACAGAAUAUAUCACACUUGUAAGUUAAGUGAAUCUCAAACUUAAGAGUGAUUGACCUCUAAGGAGGUUGCUUUUAUUUUUCCAUAAUGUGUACGAUAGCCUUGUCUCCAUGCUGUGCGCUGUGGCUUAUGGAUGCACACUCAAGCAGGGUUGACCGCUGAUAUUAUUCCAUUUUCAGAAGAAUAAUUAAGCUCCCUCUCUUUAUAUAUGAGAGGAAGGAAUACUGUAGUAGGAUCCUGCAAGAUUAUAACCUGAAUAUGAUCAUAUUAAGAAUAUAGAGUUUAAUAUGUAGCUUAUUGGUAGUAGAAAAUGCAUCAUUUGACAAAUCUUGCAGGAUUUCCUCAUAUCAACCCUGCUUUUAGCAUCAUAAAGCUAAUGUGUCUAUGAUCCACAAGCAGUACAUGGAUUUAUUAAACACAAGCCCCACUUAUUUUUUUUCCUAUUUGCGUAAUGCUAGCUUGCAAGAGGUUAAAGCUAUUGUGGAUACUAAAACAGUACGAUCGCUUUGUCCUCACACACCAAAAAACAAAAGGAGAAGAAAUGAGUGACCUUCAAUUUGCAAAGGUUAAAAACAUAAUACAAACAUGAGGGCCCAUUCACUUGAACGCUCAUAUACACACAGGCAAAUAUCUGGAACACAACAUACGUGAGGAUGUUACCUGACAAAAAUAUUCAGAGGGCAAUUUUCCCCACAAUUCCUCAUUCUAGUUAAAGGGUGAGUGGUGAUGCUGGGGGAGCAAGCUGCUGACAAUCUAAAAGAGAGACGGUCGUUAUGGCGACCAAGCGACAAGACACAGAUUAGAGACAUUAGGAAAGGGUUUUCAGCCACAUAACCACACAGAAAUCAUUUGAGAGCUCUGAGCAAUCUCCCAAAAAUAGAGCAGGGAGACAGAGGAUGGGGGAGAGAAGGAAAAGAACAGUGAUAGCUCAAGUUGGGACACAAGGACAGGGCUUUACAUCAACAGAUAGAUAAAUAUAUCAAGUGUUUGGGUCGACAGGCACUUUUGCCGAGUGGUCGGUUGGUUUUGUUUGCAGACUUAUUAUCCACAUGUGGGUGCCUUUUUGAUUUGUGCUCUUCUAGGAUUUGCUCCAUAUUUAAAAAAAUCAUCUUCGAUCAAAACUAUAUUGUAUCUCUGUUCAUAGUAAUCAUUAUAUCCAUUUUAACAGAAGUAGGAACCUGAGGCACCUAUGUUGAAGUGCACUUAAUUUGGGUGUGGAGAUCGAUUUGUCAAACUUUCUUUCUCUCUUAUAAUAUGGCUCUGAAAGACUCCAUCGCAACAUAAUGGGUCACAUGGAAUAGCCCUCCUGUAUUUCACCAGACACCAAAUAACUCCUCUUUUAACAAUGUAGAGCCCUGACAACGGAAAAACAGUUAAAAAGCAUUUUCAGCUGCAAAGCCAUGCGAUUCUACUGACCCUAUUGUAUUGGUGUAUUAGCAUCACAGCUUUAAAUUGAUCCUGAAAUAAAUACCUGUGGUCACAGGUGCUCCUUUUCUGCCCAUCAGUUCCAUCAUAAAAACCAGCAGACAACCCACUUAUGAGUUUUUGAAUUUCUGUGUAGAAUCACACAGUGCUCCCCCAGCAAGACAGCAGAGGGAGAUUGCAUAUUUUAGUUCCUUUUUCUUAAAGAGUGACCUGAUUAGACAGUGGGCUGCUGGACACAGGUCAGUCCUGGGGGAUCCAGGACAAAGAGGCAGGGGAAAGAAGGGGGCUUUUUUUUUUUUUUUU